GAGGAGCUUGCUCCUUGGGUGACGAGUGGCGGACGGGUGAGUAAUGUCUGGGAAACUGCCCGAUGGAGGGGGAUAACUACUGGAAACGGUAGCUAAUACCGCAUAACGUCGCAGACCAAAGAGGGGGACCUUCGGGCCUCUUGCCAUCGGAUGUGCCCAGAUGGGAUUAGCUAGUAGGUGGGGUAACGGCUCACCUAUGCGACGAUCCCUAGCUGGUCUGAGAGGAUGACCAGCCACACUGGAACUGAGACACGGUCCAGACUCCUACUGGAGGCAGCAGUGGGGAAUAUUGCACAAUGGGCGCAAGCCUGAUGCAGCCAUGCCGCGUGUAUGAAGAAGGCCUUCCGGUUGUAAAGUACUUUCAGCGAGGAGGAAGGUGUUGUGGUUAAUAACCGCAGCAAUUGACGUUACUCGCAGAAGAAGCACCGGCUAACUCCGUGCCAGCAGCCGCGGUAAUACGGAGGGUGCAAGCGUUAAUCGGAAUUACUGGGCGUAAAGCGCACGCACGCGGUCUGUCAAGUCGGAUGUGAAAUCCCCGGGCUCAACCUGGGAACUGCAUCCUAAACUGGCAGGCUAGAGUCUUGUAGAGGGGGGUAGAAUUCCAGGUGUAGCGGUGAAAUGCGUAGAGAUCUGGAGGAAUACCGGUGGCGAAGGCGGCCCCCUGGACAAAGACUGACGCUCA
This 682-nucleotide ribosomal RNA is filed under the name Citrobacter sp. RNAcentral describes it as "bacterial SSU rRNA". It matches the Rfam family "Bacterial small subunit ribosomal RNA", at positions 73 to 749 of the family's 1533-position model. Lineage: Bacteria; Pseudomonadati; Pseudomonadota; Gammaproteobacteria; Enterobacterales; Enterobacteriaceae. The record is from RNAcentral.